This 253-nucleotide ribosomal RNA is filed under the name uncultured bacterium. RNAcentral's name for it is "partial 16S ribosomal RNA". It matches the Rfam family "Bacterial small subunit ribosomal RNA", at positions 524 to 776 of the family's 1533-position model. The record is from RNAcentral.
UACGGAGGGUGCAAGCGUUAUCCGGCUUUACUGGGUUUAAAGGGUGCGUAGGCGGGCUUUUAAGUCAGUGGUGAAAUCUCCGGGCUCAACCCGGAAAUUGCCAUUGAUACUAUUAGUCUUGAAUUAAGUUGAGGUGGGCGGAAUGUGUCAUGUAGCGGUGAAAUGCGUAGAUAUGACACAGAACACCGAUUGCGAAGGCAGCUCGCUAAACUUAUAUUGACGCUGAGGCACGAAAGCGUGGGGAUCAAACAGG